This 347-nucleotide ribosomal RNA is filed under the name uncultured bacterium. RNAcentral describes it as "partial 16S ribosomal RNA". It matches the Rfam family "Bacterial small subunit ribosomal RNA", at positions 338 to 682 of the family's 1533-position model. The record is from RNAcentral.
CCUACGGGUGGCAGCAGUGAGGAAUAGUGGUCAAUGGCCGUAAGGCUGAACCAGCCAAGUAGCGUGAGGGAAGACUGCCCUAUGGGUGGUAAACCUCUGUUAUGCGGGGAUAAAGGUGGCCACGUGUGGAUGUUUGCAGGUACCGCAUGAAUAAGGACCGGCUAAUUCCGUGCCAGCAGCCGCGGUAAUACGGAGGAUCCGAGCGUUAUCCGGAUUUAUUGGGUUGAAAGGGAGCGUAGAUGGGUUGUUAAGUCAGUUGUGAAAGUUUGCGGCUCAACCGUAAAAUUGCAAUUGAUACUGGCAGUCUUGCGUACAGUUGUGGUAGUCUGCUUUCGUGUUGUCGCGGU